This 30-nucleotide non-coding RNA is filed under the name Mus musculus (house mouse). Lineage: Eukaryota; Metazoa; Chordata; Mammalia; Rodentia; Muridae. The record is from RNAcentral.
ACCCACAUGAUGGAAAGAGCAGAUAGACCC